Molecule: ribosomal RNA, 404 nt
Filed under: Actinomycetes bacterium
Lineage: Bacteria; Bacillati; Actinomycetota; Actinomycetes
Description: Actinobacteria bacterium partial 16S ribosomal RNA
Rfam family: Bacterial small subunit ribosomal RNA
Source: RNAcentral
UGGGGAAUAUUGGACAAUGGGCGCAAGCCUGCUCCAGCCAUGCCGCGUGCGUGAUGAAGGCCCUAGGGUUGUAAAGCUCUUUCACCGGUGAAGAUAAUGACGGUAACCGGAGAAGAAGCCCCGGCUAACUUCGUGCCAGCAGCCGCGGUAAUACGAAGGGGGCUAGCGUUGUUCGGAUUUACUGGGCGUAAAGCGCACGUAGGCGGACUUUUAAGUCAGGGGUGAAAUCCCGGGGCUCAACCCCGGAACUGCCUUUGAUACUUGAAGUCUUGAGUAUGGUAGAGGUGAGUGGAAUUCCGAGUGUAGAGGUGAAAUUCGUAGAUAUUCGGAGGAACACCAGUGGCGAAGGCGGCUCACUGGACCAUUACUGACGCUGAGGUGCGAAAGCGUGGGGAGCAAACAGG